This is a long non-coding RNA of Hyalella azteca, 713 nucleotides long. RefSeq lists it as uncharacterized. The transcript has 3 exons. Lineage: Eukaryota; Metazoa; Arthropoda; Malacostraca; Amphipoda; Hyalellidae. The record is from RefSeq and is a predicted model, not a curated record.
AACAAGGACGGACCCUCCAAGUUGUCCUGAGCUCCGCGCGGCGCUGGCGAGCGCGGGCUACAAGCUCAACAAGCACAUCUGCGACGCGCUCAUGCUGCGCUACGGCGACAAGGACGGCAACGUAACUUUCGGCGACUACAUCAUGUGCAGCGUCAAGCUCAGGAACAUGAUGGGUUUGGGAAGCUCGAGGUGUUGGACAGCGAGCUGCGUGCGGAAGACGUGCAGCUUCUGCUGCUGAGACUCCAGGAGCGGCGCGUCAGGACGGGCGGCGAGGGCGACACGCGCGCCGAGACUCACGGGUCGAAGGUUCAUCUGUACAUCACGGAUGACUGCAAACUCAACAGUGAAAGUGUUCAGCACAAAUAAAUGAUCGGCUAUUGCAACAGCGGUCAGGAGAGGCGAAGUAAAUUGCCGCAACAUCCGAAUGUAGUAACACAUGAUCGAUGCAGCGCACGAUCGACGCAACAUGCGUUCCAUGAAACACUUCUCCCUUAUACAGAUUGUGAAAUUAUAACUUUCUCCUCUUAGUACGCUACUCACAAUACUCACAAGCGACAAAUCUUUCAUAAUUAAGACGAACGUUUUCCAUACAAAGGAGCAGAUCUUCUAGCAAAUGCAGGAACAUAGACCAAUUGUGCACCUCCGUCGUUUCGGCUUUGUUGAACGUUCCAUGUUGUCGAAACUAUUGCUGCGUGUCCACAGACAUUAAAUUG